UUAAGAAAAUGAUUCCAAAAGUUGAAAGAUUCCAGUUCAAUCUAUUCAGUGCAUUAUGUGAUACCGUCUGUUGCAAAUGAGGAUUUGAAAUCUUUUUUCGAAGAGGAAACAGGUCAAUCGGAGAACUAUAUUUAUAAAGUGAUGGUGAAGGAGGCAAUGAUAACAAU
Mercenaria mercenaria is the source of this 167-nucleotide long non-coding RNA. RefSeq lists it as uncharacterized. The transcript is spliced from 3 exons. The record is from RefSeq and is a predicted model, not a curated record. Lineage: Eukaryota; Metazoa; Mollusca; Bivalvia; Venerida; Veneridae.